GCUGGCGGCAUGCCUUACACAUGCAAGUCGAACGGCAGCACGGGAGCAAUCCUGGUGGCGAGUGGCGAACGGGUGAGUAAUAUAUCGGAACGUGCCCAGUCGUGGGGAUAACGUAGCGAAAGCUACACUAAUACCGCAUACGAUCUAUGGAUGAAAGCGGGGGAUCGCAAGACCUCGCGCGAUUGGAGCGGCCGAUAUCAGAUUAGGUAGUUGGUGAGGUAAAGGCUCACCAAGCCGACGAUCUGUAGCUGGUCUGAGAGGACGACCAGCCACACUGGGACUGAGACACGGCCCAGACUCCUACGGGAGGCAGCAGUGGGGAAUUUUGGACAAUGGGCGCAAGCCUGAUCCAGCAAUGCCGCGUGCAGGAUGAAGGCCUUCGGUUGUAACUGCUUUGUUACGGAACGAAACGGUGAGCUCUAAUACAGUUUGCUAAUGACGGUACCGUAAGAAUAAGCACCGGCUAACUACGUG
Molecule: ribosomal RNA, 474 nt
Filed under: uncultured bacterium
Lineage: Bacteria
Description: bacterial SSU rRNA
Rfam family: Bacterial small subunit ribosomal RNA
Source: RNAcentral